GGGCAUGUAGCUCAGUUGGUAGAGCGCGUCAUUAGCAGCAGCGCUGUCUCUUGAGGAACAGCGUCGAUUACUUGACGAGGUCUUUGGUUCGAUUCCUAACCUGUCCA
Molecule: transfer RNA, 107 nt
Organism: Trichosporon asahii var. asahii CBS 8904
Lineage: Eukaryota; Fungi; Basidiomycota; Tremellomycetes; Trichosporonales; Trichosporonaceae
Rfam family: tRNA
About the family: Transfer RNA (tRNA) molecules are approximately 80 nucleotides in length.
Source: Rfam